GACGAACGCUGGCGGCGUGCCUAAUACAUGCAAGUCGAGCGCUGAAGGUUGGUACUUGUACCACUGGGAUGAGCAGCGGACGGGUGAGUAACGCGUGGGGAACCUGCCUUUGAGCGGGGGACAACAUUGGGAAACGAAUGCUAAUACCGCAUAAAAACUUUAAACACAAGGUUCAAGAUUGAAAGAUGCUAUUGCAUCACUCAAAGAUGAUACCGCGUUUUAUUAAGUAGUUGGUGAGGUAAAGGCCCACCAAAGCGAAGAUACAUAGCCGACCUGAGAGGGUGAUCGGCCCACAUGGGACUGAGACACGGCUCAAACUUCCACGGGAGGCCGCAGUAGGGGAUCUUCCGGAAAUGGGGGAAGUCUGGACGGGGCACGCCGCGUGGGUGAAGAAGGUUUUCGGGUCGUAAAAACCUUUUGGUAGGGAAAGACGAUGUGUGGAGUUGAAAGCUCAUCAAUUGACGGUAACUACCCAGAAAGGCACGGCUAACUACGUG
RNAcentral lists this ribosomal RNA (497 nucleotides) under uncultured bacterium. Its description in RNAcentral is "partial 16S ribosomal RNA". It matches the Rfam family "Bacterial small subunit ribosomal RNA", at positions 28 to 507 of the family's 1533-position model. The record is from RNAcentral.